UACGUGGGGUGCGAGCGUUGUCCGGAAUUAUUGGGCGUAAAGAGCUCGUAGGCGGUCUGUCGCGUCGGUCGUGAAAACUUGGGGCUUAACCCUGAGCUUGCGGUCGAUACGGGCAUGACUGGAGUUCGGCAGGGGAGACUGGAAUUCCUGGUGUAGCGGUGAAAUGCGUAGAUAUCUGGAGGAAUACCGGUGGCGAAGGCGGCAUCCUGGACCGAGAUUGACACUGAUGAGCGAAAGCUAGGGGAGCAAACGGG
This 254-nucleotide ribosomal RNA is filed under the name uncultured bacterium. Its description in RNAcentral is "partial 16S ribosomal RNA". It matches the Rfam family "Bacterial small subunit ribosomal RNA", at positions 524 to 776 of the family's 1533-position model. The record is from RNAcentral.